GAAGAUAGUUCCUGAACUGGAAACAUGCAUCUUGACUAGCCAAGUACUUUGAAGGCACUCCAUGCUGGAUUAAUGAUUCUGACCAGAGCCGAGUUCUCAACUGAGAUGAUAAAUCUGGGUCAGGACCACACCACUUAAGACUGCAGGCAGAAUUCAUGUGACUGAAUACUUGAUUAUACAAAAGAUGCCCUCCACGUUGACAACUAGAUGCCAGGACAAAAGGUGAUAGCCUAACACUCUCCUUGAGAUGACAAGUGUGCAUGUGUGUAUGGGCAAGGACAGCUUUUUUAAAUGAAGUCAUGUGUGUCUCCCACUUGCGGUCUGAAGUGGUACAGCCCAGACAAAGGUUUACCACCUCCAGUUGAUUGAACAAUGAAGCAGAAUAACUCACUCAAAUGAAUGGAAAGCCUGCUCAAGAGGACUCCUUUAACGUUCUCAGGUUCUGAGACCUGAGGUGGUGUCCCUGCUCCCUCUGCUGGCCACCAGACCUUUGCCUGAUUCUUGGGUGCAGGGACUUUCUGGAGAAUGCCAUGGGCUUUAGUUUAGGAUUCCAAGCAUUCUUUCCAGACUGCCUAUGCCAACUUCCUCUUUUUGUUUCUUCAUAGCCUUUUGAGGAGAUGUGUUUGUAUGUACUGCUAUAGAUGCACAUUAUUCUGUGGGCACCACUUUAUGUACCUUGGUGGAAAAGCAGAAUACAACUUUAAAAAUAAAUAUCUACAUUUAUUUUUAUCUUGCCAUCUUUGUGUCAUAGAGUCCUCAAGGAGGUUUGCAUAUAAAUGAAAACAAUAAUAAUAUAAUUAAAACCCUGAAAACUGGGGUAUGGACACGCAACACAUGUACAGCUGUAUAAAAACACCAGCUGAAACAAACCAGCUUUCAGAUUAAGAGCCACACACAAAUAAUCAUGGUGCUUAAUCUUGAACUGGGAAUGGGAAUUCAAUCACCCCACCCAAGCCCGUUAUGAACUGGGACCAGACCCUCUUCACGUUUUCAUCCCAGGAAUUAAUGGACUGGUGCCAUUCCCUUUCCCUAAACUCAGGGGGUUUUUCAUAGGGAAUUUGCCUCUUCUUCUAGAAAAACAGCACUGCCUAAACUUGUUAGAGUGGCAACAGUGAGGUCCCUUCCAUUAGGUCCUAGUCUAAUCAAACCAGGUCCUAGAGAUUGUAGGAGUCACAGUCCCUUUCACACAUUCAGCUGAAAGUGCAUACAUAGGAAAGUGGGGUGGUGUUCAUCCCAGGUGCACCCCCCAUGCAUGCCACAAGGGGAAGGUGAGAAGGAGCCUGCAAGCAAAUAAACUCUACAGAUGAAUCCUUUGUUCACGUGAUUAUGGAAACUGCCUGUUAGAGGGACCACAGUCGCAUGGACAAAGUGUGCCACUUAUAUGCAUGUUGGAAUAUGGAGCAGGCACAGGUCUUGCAAACACAAUUGUAAAUCUCCCUGCAGUGCUCCCUCCAGGAAUUGGUAUUAGGGAAAUGCCUGGAUUUUAGCAGUUGUGAAGGCUGCAAUGACAAUAUGCCCUUGUGGACUCACGCUAUAUAGCGAGUAUCACAAUAUUAAAAAGUUUCAAAAUCAUGACCAUUUUGUUGAAGCUAGCUCCAUUUACUUCCUUCCUGUUAAUGAACUUUCUCAAAAUGCAGUGCGUGCCUUUUCAGGCACUUAGUAUCAUAGAAUUGUAGUGUUAGAAAGGGACCACAAGGGUCAUCUAGUCCAACCCCCCUGGAAUUGCAAGAAUCACAGCUAAAGAAUCCCUGUCAGAUGGCCAUUCAGCCUCUGCCUGAAAAUCUCCAGGAAGGGAGAGGCCACCACCUUCCGAGGGAGUCUAUAUGUCUGUAUGUCCAUCAUUGUCAUUUUUAAGGCUGGUGUUUGGGAGAACUUGGAUCCAAAAGGUGGCAAACUCUUCCUAAAUGUGGGACAAUAGACAGGGAAAAUGUGACCCUAAGAAAAUAGCCCAUCACAGGCAAAGUGGUCAUCCAAAUUGGUCCGCAGCUAAACUGCAGGCUGCAGAAUUUCUCUUGUGGGAUUCCACAGCCUCUGCCGCCUGUUACAUGCGAGGUUUCGUUUGAAAAAGCCACAGCUGGACAUCUUCUGAGUACUGUCAUUAGUCUUUUUAGAAUAAAAAAUAGAGCAAAAGCCGGAAGCCUUUCCCAUUAGCCAUGAUAAACAAGAGUUAAUCCAUAGCAACACCGAAGGACAUGUCUAGUUUGCAGGUUGUCAUAUUCAUUAAAAAAUAAAAAUAAAACCCAUUCUGGAAGGAAGGGGAGAAAGCAGUGGAACUAUGCAUCUCCUCCUAGUGCUUAGCAUCAGCACAAGGGAAAUCGCAAGCUCACUGAAUAGUACCGCUGUGACAGAAUGUCAUUUCAAUUGGCUUAUUAACCAUAUGAAAAAAUAUAUCACAACAGUGAGAAAACCUCUCAGUUAUCUAUAUCUUAUCCCUUAGGCUAUUGUCAUGAGCCAGUGGCAUACUAAGAAGAGAGUGCUAAUUCAGUUGUCAGCUGCCUUGCCUAUUAAACAGACGGCAUAAAAACACCAGCAACAAAACUGAAACAAGUAAUAAGGGUAAAGGAAAGGUCUAGCUAUCCUUGUCCACUUGUAUUUUUGAUUUAAACAAAUAUACCAUUUUUUCCUUGUCAUGUAUAAUUGCACCCGUACCAGCAGGUUGUUGUAUAAUGAAGCACUUACAGAGCUCGGAAGGCAUUUUUUUCAGUGGUGCAAUAUUAUAUGUAGAGUUCAUGACCUACAAUGCAGCAUAAAGGGGAAGGAAAAUAAAAUAAAUGCACUGGAGUGAAAACAUGCUAUGGAUCUGAAAAGAGCAGGCCAAUAUGCAGAGAGCUAAGCAGUCAAAUGAGCCGCUGAAAACUACUGAAAGAUUGGAUGAGCAAGCAUGUGGUUUUCACAAGUGGCCCAUGACCUUGGCCUUAGCCAAGUCCCGGGGAGAGGCAGAGACAACGAGGAUAAAGUCACUCACAUUUGUUCUAGUUUAGAUGCCUCUUUUGGAAAGGGGUUCAUUCUGGGUCCCCUUUCUUUGCAUGAAUGUGUCUCAUUUUAUUUAAGCUGAGGAUACAAACAAGGUGCCUGGAGAAGUCUGUGUCUUGAUUUAUCUUCUCAACAUGUGUACUUAAUGGCUAGUGAAGGACAUUUUGAAGGUCUGGGGAAUCCUGGUCAUUAGCACAAGUUGCCCUUUUGAAAAAGCAGCUAUUAGGCCCCUCCUUAAGAAAUCAUUACUGGAUCCUGCUGUCCUGGGGAACUGUUUCCAGUUUCUUACUUACUUUUCCUGGGAAAGGUGUUUUAGAAAAUGGUGGCCAGUCAGCUCCAGUUACUCUUGUGCAAUACUGGUUGUCUGGAUCCGUUUAAGAAAUGGAAGAAUGGAAGAGCCCUACUAGGUCAGGUCAAUGCCCCUUCUGUUCCCAUGGUGCAAGGAGGGCCUGAGAGCAACAGCCCUCUCCCUACCAGCAACUCUGGUACCCAGAGGCACCCUGCCUAGCAUGGCCAUCAUGAUGGAUAGGCAUCCGGGUUGGCAGCCUUCAUCAUUAAGCUUCACUUGAUGAGCCUGAGUUCUUAGGAGAAGGGGAGAAGAACUUCCACUGUCCAUUUUCUUCACACCAUGCAUAUUUUGGCAUGCCUUUGCCAUGUCCUCCCCUUACUCUUUCCCUAAGCUAAAGAAGCACCAAGUGCUGUAACCUUUUCUCAGGGUGAGUUGCUUCAGGCCUUUGGCCAUUUUGGUUGCCCUUUACUGAACCCAGUAAUCAAGUUUAUAAGAAGGAGAGGCAAGUUCAGCCUCUUUGUGAGUUGGGCAAGGAGAUCAGGGAAGUCAGCAAUUUCCCAACAUCUGAUCAUAAAUAUCCUGUUAAAUGUGCUGAAAAAAGAAAAAAUAACUACAAAGUUUGAAAGCCAGCAGUAGCAUGGGUGCUGCAAAGUGUAUUGUACAGAGUGUCACAUGCCUACUGGACAGAAGUUGUGGGCGCUAGUGCAGGGAGUUCCUGGCUCUCAGGGAAUGUGUGAUGCCUUGAGGCCAAGAUAACUGACUUGCAGAAGCUGAGACAGGUGGCAAGGCUGGUGGACAAGUCUGUGGGGAUAUGAUAACAGCACCUUACUUGCAGUGCGGGAACUCCUCUUCUGUCUCAGAGCAUGAGGGUCUCAGGGAAGGAAGGAUUUCUCUCUGAGGAAGAGGGACAUUGGACAUUUUCCACCAGGUUUGUCUGCACCAAUGGGAUUUUUCCUUUCAAACAUGGAAGCUGUUUAUGCCAAGUUGAUCAAAACAUGGCUGAUUCAUUACAAGUCCUCUGGCACAUGGUGGCUUAUUUUAUUGUGUUAUGUGUUGGCUGCAGCAUCCAGCUGCCAAAUUCCCAUAUGCAAGACUGGUCCUUGGUAGUGUGGUGCAGACUCACUGAUUAUCCACUUAGAGCCAUCUUUAUGCAAACUGGUUGCCUAUUUGGAAGCUGCCUAGAAGCUGAAAAACUGCUGUGAAACUGAACUUUAAGCAGCUGUGAUCCAUCAGAGGUUCAGACAUGCUAGUCUUGUGAUGCUGCUGUACACACUCACCCUCAAAAACAAUUUGGGGAACUGAAGAUCUUCUUUGUCGGUCAGAAUCACAUGUAAAUAAAAGUUGUCACUGAAAUUUCACCUACAUUGAAAUUCAAAGUGAGCUUGGGGAUUGCUUUUGGGUGAAGCCAUGUGAAGAGUUUUGGGAGAAGUCAAAAGAAUUUCGGGUACACUGUCAACCUCAAGUGAAAUUCAAAGCAAAUUGGCAGGCUCCACCUCAUCUAAAACUUUUAAGGAAAUUGAAGGAAAACUGAAAGGCUUUUGAUAAAACUAGUGGUUUUGCUUUUAAAAGGUGGGGGUUGAGAUUUCACCAUCUCUGCUAUUAACUCUUGCAAGUGUGUUGGGGGAGUGGGGAGAAAAUCAAUUCAGUUCUCAGGCACAUAGCUGUCAACUUACAGAUUUGAAAAUAAGGGACCAGCAGCCUUGAAAAUAAGGGACCAGCAGCCAAAAUAAGGGACCUGCAGCCUCACCUGUUCCAGGCACUCCAGUCUUCCUGUCCUCCUGCAGUCUGGUCAAACUCAUGCUGGGUAGCUUCGAGAACACUGUCCAACCAACUUUGUAACCAGAGGUUCAACUGAAUAGAAUCUGAAUCACAUGCACCACAAGGCCUAUGCAGCCUCAACUUAAGAUGGCUCCCCGGCCUGGCUUUGCACUGCAAAGUUUGCAGCAGCACGUGCAACAAAAUGGCGUCCAGCAUUCAAAAAAACCCUCAGCUUGCAUUAACUAGCCACAUACAAGGCAUGCAAGCUCCACCCCCCAGUCGUUCUUAGACUUCUUAUUGGGUGAGCAACACAGCCAAGCAACACAGUUGGAGCCUCCCUCCUCCCUGGCUGGCAGGGAGGGAGGGAGAGGAGCUGCUUCCUUUGAAAUUUAAGGGACAUCAUUUAAGGGACAUUUAAGGGACAUCUAUCAAUAAGGGACAGCAGCGGGACAUGGCACUGGAAUAAGGGACUGUCCCUUCAAAUAAGGGACACUUGACAGCUAUGCUCAGGCAGCGCUACCUACAUAGUAUGGAAACUGAAACACACCCAUCCUUUGGCAUUCACAUUCUCCAGAUUUUACGAUGAAGUUCUCCGAACAAUGUGUGCUAAGAGACUGGUAGAAAACAAAAUUGACAGUUUUGCCCCUCUCUACCUGCCAGUGUGCCAAUACCCACCUGUCCUAAAAAGUUAAUUACUGCUUUACAGCAGCUCUGAUGGUGAUCAUCCCUUUGCAAGGGAGCAUGUUAAUAAGCCAUCUUCUUCCUAUAUCACCCUCCUGGAUCGUCACAUGUGUGGCAUGCCUAUCCUCCGUUCGCUCUUUUAUUUAAGUGUUUGUGCGUGGGGGAAAAGAAGCCUCUGCAAUGUGCUGAGGUAUGUUUUGUCAGACUUCAUCAGUUCCAUUGAGCUUUGUCAGCACCAUGCAUGUUAUGUCAAUGUGAUGAGUCCCAACUCAGCUUGUCAAUUGCACAGCUGUCUAGUCUUUUUCUCUCUCCCUGUUUAAAAUAAAAAUGCUACAUGGGAAAUAUGUUGAAAAAGCAUAUUACUCUUGAGUCAGAAGAACAAUUUGAUGGUAGAUGAAAUUAGUAAGCGUAAUGCUUCCUAUAGGAACCUGUCUAACCCAAAUGAACGGAGGGGCUAUUGGAGAAAUGAAAGAGAUGAAAGAAAAAUUAAAAAGAAGGGGAGAUAAUUAUAACGAAGCAAAAAUAAAGAACUGGGUAACAUAACCAAAUUUUUAUUCAGAAAACUAUAAGCCAAACUUAUAUCCUGGGUGGAAUGCAAAUCAGUCAGGAUACCUUAAGGAAGAAUCAGUUAUCAAAUGACUCUGGAGAGUUUUAUUAAUGGCUAUAAUUCUGUGCCCAUAAUAAUUGCUUACUUGAAAUCAAGUGUCUUUUGGGUUGCAGUAUCAGUGACUCUGGGAUGUACAUGUUCAAUCCUUCUUGCUUAGAGUGAGUGGAGAACUUUCCUAGCAGUGCCUUCCCCUUGACUCUGCCCCUUGUGUCUCCACCAGCAGGUACCUUAAGAAAUCAGUUCCAUGGAAGCAUAGACACCAGGUUCCGCCCAACUUUUAGGGUGGGUUGUUCACAUGUGACAUCAUGCACGCAAUGUGCAUGGGUGAUGUCACACAGCGGGAGUAGGCUGUGAGGCAAGGAAGCUCAACAGGGCCUGCCGCAGCCAUGGGGAGGCCCAAUGGGCAGACCUGGUGAGGCUCACCACUGCCAUGGGGAGGCCCAGUGGGGCCUGCCUUAGCUGUGGCAAGGCCCGGCAAGGUGCAGCCCCUCAAGAUUGGUAGGUCUCAGCCCCAUAGAGUUGGGGUCUAUGAGUGGAAGCGCCAUGCUGGGCUCCAGUUGCUGCUGCUGCAAGCCUGUUCAGCUCAGCUCAGGGUCUUCUUAAUUCAAGUGGACUCAAGUGCAGUUGGGUCUACCUCCUUUACAAAUCAUGGGGUUUUCUCCAGCUUAAUCUAUUCAGCCUUCUGCUGCCCAAGACAGACCAUUUUUAGUUCACAUAGUCUUGGCUACCAGUAGAACCCCAGCAGCUUAUGCUAGUGAGCCUAUGCUGUCUGUGGACCAACUGAAGAUUAGCUGUCAAAAAUAUUUUUUUUGUGCAAGCCUACAUGGUCCUCCAGGGACGCGGGUGGCACUAUGGUUUAAACCACAGAGCCUAGGGCUUGCUGAUGAGAAGGUCGGCGGUUCGAAUCCCCACAACGGGGUGAGCUCCCGUUUCUCAGUCCCAGCUCCUGCCAACCUAGCAGUUCGAAAGCACGUCAAAGUGAAAGUAAAUAAAUAGGUACCGCUCCAGCAGGAAGGUAAACGGCGUUUCUGUGAGCUGCUCUGGUUUCACCAGAAGCGGCUUAGUCAUGCUGGCCACAUGACCCGGAAAAACUGUCUGUGAAACUGUCUGUGGACAAACAUCGGCUCCCUCGGCCAGUAAAGCAAGAUGACCGCCGCAACCCCAGAGUCAUUUGCAACCGGACCUAAUGGUCAGGAGUCCCUUUACCUUUACCUUUUACAUGGUCCUCCCAGAGAAAAUCUGUUGAGGUCCUAUCUUUAGUCUGUUCUUGCCAAUCCACUGAAUUGCAAUUUUUAAAGCUAUAUCAUGCCUCUUUCUUCCACUGCCCAACUCUGUUCCAUCGGCAUUUUGUUGUUUGAAACAACCCUCACAGACCCUCCAAGUGUCCCUAUUUUCCAGGGACGUCCCUGAUAUAGAGAAGCUGUCCUGGUUUCUGAUUUGAUCCUGGAAUGUCCAACUUUUACUUAGGAUGUCCCUUUUUUCAUUGGAGAAAUGUUAGAGGGAAUGGAGUUAUCCAACCCCCGAGCCAUCUGAAGGCAAUCCUGUGUAGGGGAGGGUUUUUUUUUCAUGUUUAAUGUUUUAUUAUGUUUAUAUGUGUGUUGGAAGCUGCCCAGAGUGGCAGGGGCAGCCCAGUAAGAUGUGUGGGGUAUAAAUAGUAAAAUUAUCAUUAUGGAAUGGGAUGCCCCUAUUUUCAUUGGAGAAAUGUUGGAGGGUAUGCCCUCAGUUUACGGAAUCUACAUUCUUAGUUUCCCAUCUAGAAUACUUGGUAGAAAGUAAUAGAAGAUCAGCUGUCAAUGCAAAAACCUUUUCCCCAAGUACACUUGUUUCCCUCAAAUUUCUACAUUUUGAGGGUGACUUUAAAAAAUGAAAACAGAUCUGUAAAAUAUAAUAAACACCCUCCUGAAAAUUAAAAUGAGAGUUACAAGUAAAAAAUAUUGUAACCCCCUUUUAAAUUGCAGGAGAAAAAACUGAAAAUGCUUUUUAUCACCUUUAGUUUUAAGCAUAGAAUAAGUGGGACCUGCCUGCAUACUUGUCCUUUCAUAUAUUCUGAAAAUGCAUCUCCGUUGAAUUAUGCAUAGCAACCCAGACUGCAAUUCUAAAUGCAUUUGUGCAGAUGAAGCACCACUGAAUGGGAAGCUCAGUCAACGCUAGUGCGUUUAGGAUUGCACCCCCAGCCUAAUGCACAAAUGGGAAAGUAAUUCUGGAGAUUUCAAAUAAAUUAUGCUUGGACCAGUCAAUGAGCACAUUUUUUAAAAGCUGUUGAUGAUGUUCUUCAUAAUAGGAGAAAAACCUGAUGAUCCAAAUCCAAAGGGGGUGGGGAAUCAGAGUUUGUCCAUCAAAGAAGAUUAUGGCUUGCUUCAGAACAUUACAGAGCACUAAAAUCUAAAGUCAUUGCUUUCUUUUGAUUGAGCAACUGCUUUAAAUCAGUUCGGCGUGUAAUGCUAGCAGAAUUUAUGAUUCUGAAAGGGACAGGCACGCUAAAUGUUUUAAUGAAAACUGGGGGAACCAAGGGAUAUGCAUGUUUGAAAUACUGUGCUUCACUUUUUGAAAAAGAAUGUUUAAAAGUUACUUUGUUUGCUUCAUUUGGAUGACAUGGAUAUGUCAAAACUGGUUAACCCAGACUUACAAAACUGGGUUAUUUUUUUUAUUAAAAAAAAUAUUACAUCUAUAUGCCACCUUUUCUCCAAAGAGCUCAAGUUGGUGCACGUGGUUCUCCUCCUCUCCAUGUUAUCCUGAGAGCCAGUUUGGUGUAGUGGUUAAAAACAGUAGACUCGUAAUCUGGUGAACCUGGUUUGAUUCCCCGCUCCUCCACAUGCAGCUGCUGGGUGACCUUAGGCUAGUCACACUUCUCUGAAGUCUCUCAGCCUCAUUCACCUCACAGAGUGUUUGUUGUGGGGGAGGAAAGGAAAGAGAUUGUUAGCCGCUUUGAGACUCCUUAGGGUAGUGAUAAAGCGGGAUAUCAAAUCCAAACUCUUCUUCUUCUUCUUCACAGUGACCUUGGGAAUGAGGUUGAGAGACGGUGACUGGCCCAAGAUCACUCUCUGAGCUUCAUAGAAAAGUGGACAUUUGAACCCUGGUCUUCCAGGCCAGAGCCCAACACCCUAACCACUGCACCACUGUGAUUUCUGACCCACUCCAAUAGCCAC
RNAcentral lists this long non-coding RNA (9454 nucleotides) under Podarcis lilfordi (Lilford's wall lizard). Lineage: Eukaryota; Metazoa; Chordata; Lepidosauria; Squamata; Lacertidae. The record is from RNAcentral.